RNAcentral lists this ribosomal RNA (1334 nucleotides) under metagenome. Its description in RNAcentral is "bacterial LSU rRNA". It matches the Rfam family "Bacterial large subunit ribosomal RNA", at positions 1601 to 2925 of the family's 2925-position model. The record is from RNAcentral.
CAUGCUUCCAGGAAAAGCCACUAAGCUUCAGCUACACACGACCGUACCGCAAACCGACACUGGUGCGCGAGAUGAGUAUUCUAAGGCGCUUGAGAGAACUCUGGAGAAGGAACUCGGCAAAUUGACACCGUAACUUCGGAAGAAGGUGUGCCUUUAGUAGGUGAACCAGUACAUGGGGAGCCCAAUGAGGCCGCAGAGAAUCGGUGGCUGCAACUGUUUAAUAAAAACACAGCACUCUGCAAAGACGAAAGUCGACGUAUAGGGUGUGACGCCUGCCCGGUGCUGGAAGAUUAAAUGAUGGGGUGCAAGCUCUUGACUGAAGUCCCAGUAAACGGCGGCCGUAACAAUAACGGUCCUAAGGUAGCGAAAUUCCUUGUCGGGUAAGUUCCGACCUGCACGAAUGGCGUAACGAUGGCCACACUGUCUCCUCCAGAGACUCAGCGAAGUUGAAAUGUUUGUGAUGAUGCAAUCUCCCCGCGGAAAGACGGAAAGACCCCAUGAACCUUUACUGUAGCUUUACAUUGGACUUUGAACAGAUCUGUGUAGGAUAGGUGGGAGGCUUUGAAGCGGUGCCGCUAGGUGUCGUGGAGCCAACCUUGAAAUACCACCCUGGUGUGUUUGAGGUUCUAACCUUGGCCCGUGAUCCGGGUUGGGGACAGUGUAUGGUGGGCAGUUUGACUGGGGCGGUCUCCUCCCAAAGUGUAACGGAGGAGUUCGAAGGUACGCUAAAUACGGUCGGAAAUCGUGUUGAUAGUGCAUAGGCAUAAGCGUGCUUGACUGCGAGACUGACAAGUCGAGCAGGUACGAAAGUAGGACAAAGUGAUCCGGUGGUUCUGUAUGGAAGGGCCAUCGCUCAACGGAUAAAAGGUACUCUGGGGAUAACAGGCUGAUACCGCCCAAGAGUUCAUAUCGACGGCGGUGUUUGGCACCUCGAUGUCGGCUCAUCUCAUCCUGGGGCUGUAGCCGGUCCCAAGGGUAUGGCUGUUCGCCAUUUAAAGAGGUACGUGAGCUGGGUUUAAAACGUCGUGAGACAGUUUGGUCCCUAUCUUCCGUGGGCGCUGCAAGAUUGAGAGAGCCUGCUCCUAGUACGAGAGGACCGGAGUGGACGCACCUCUGGUGUAUCGGUUGUCACGCCAGUGGCAUUGCCGAGUAGCUAAGUGCGGAAGAGAUAACCGCUGAAAGCAUCUAAGCGGGAAACUCGUCUCAAGAUGAGUCUUGCCGGGGCCUUGAGCCCCCUGAAGGGUCGUUCGAGACCAGGACGUUGAUAGGCUGGGUGUGGAAGCGCAGUAAUGCGUUAAGCUAACCAGUACUAAUUGCCCGUGAGGCUUGACCCU